AGGGGAGCCGGAGGGAAACCGAGUCUUAAUUGGGCGUUAAGUUGCAGGGUAUAGACCCGAAACCCGGUGAUCUAGCCAUGGGCAGGUUGAAGGUUGGGUAACACUAACUGGAGGACCGAACCGACUAAUGUUGAAAAAUUAGCGGAUGACCUGUGGCUGGGGGUGAAAGGCCAAUCAAACCGGGAGAUAGCUGGUUCUCCCCGAAAGCUAUUUAGGUAGCGCCUCGUGAAUUCAUCUCCGGGGGUAGAGCACUGUUUCGGCUAGGGGGCCAUCCCGGCUUACCAACCCGAUGCAAACUGCGAAUACCGGAGAAUGUUAUCACGGGAGACACACGGCGGGUGCUAACGUCCGUCGUGAAGAGGGAAACAACCCAGACCGCCAGCUAAGGUCCCAAAGUCAUGGUUAAGUGGGAAACGAUGUGGGAAGGCCCAGACAGCCAGGAUGUUGGCUUAGAAGCAGCCAUCAUUUAAAGAAAGCGUAAUAGCUCACUGGUCGAGUCGGCCUGCGCGGAAGAUGUAACGGGGCUAAACCAUGCACCGAAGCUGCGGCAGCGACACUGUG
RNAcentral lists this ribosomal RNA (561 nucleotides) under Salmonella enterica subsp. enterica. RNAcentral describes it as "partial 23S ribosomal RNA". It matches the Rfam family "Bacterial large subunit ribosomal RNA", at positions 659 to 1218 of the family's 2925-position model. The record is from RNAcentral. Lineage: Bacteria; Pseudomonadati; Pseudomonadota; Gammaproteobacteria; Enterobacterales; Enterobacteriaceae.